ACGGGUGAGUAAUGCUUAGGAAUCUGCCUAUUAGUGGGGGACAACAUCUCGAAAGGGAUGCUAAUACCGCAUACGUCCUACGGGAGAAAGCAGGGGACCUUCGGGCCUUGCGCUAAUAGAUGAGCCUAAGUCGGAUUAGCUAGUUGGUGGGGUAAAGGCCUACCAAGGCGACGAUCUGUAGCGGGUCUGAGAGGAUGAUCCGCCACACUGGGACUGAGACACGGCCCAGACUCCUACGGGAGGCAGCAGUGGGGAAUAUUGGACAAUGGGGGGAACCCUGAUCCAGCCAUGCCGCGUGUGUGAAGAAGGCCUUUUGGUUGUAAAGCACUUUAAGCGAGGAGGAGGCUACCGAGAUUAAUACUCUUGGAUAGUGGACGUUACUCGCAGAAUAAGCACCGGCUAACUCUGUGCCAGCAGCCGCGGUAAUACAGAGGGUGCAAGCGUUAAUCGGAUUUACUGGGCGUGAAGCGCGCGUAGGUGGCCAAUUAAGUCAAAUGUGAAAUCCCCGAGCUUAACUUGGGAAUUGCAUUCGAUACUGGUUGGCUAGAGUAUGGGAGAGGAUGGUAGAAUUCCAGGUGUAGCGGUG
Molecule: ribosomal RNA, 586 nt
Filed under: uncultured bacterium
Lineage: Bacteria
Description: bacterial SSU rRNA
Rfam family: Bacterial small subunit ribosomal RNA
Source: RNAcentral